Molecule: small nuclear RNA, 165 nt
Organism: Triplophysa rosa
Lineage: Eukaryota; Metazoa; Chordata; Actinopteri; Cypriniformes; Nemacheilidae
Source: RefSeq, a predicted model, not a curated record
GUUUCGAAUGAAAGGAGAGAAGAUUAGCUCCAUCCUUGACAAGAAUGUAAGAUGACACAAAAUGAUACAAGUGACAUUCAACACACAUAUCUCACCAUGACUGGAAUGCCUGAAAGGUUGCUGGUUCGACCGCUUCAAGGUAGAAAGUAUUUAGGAUUUUUUUAU